RNAcentral lists this long non-coding RNA (1787 nucleotides) under Podarcis lilfordi (Lilford's wall lizard). Lineage: Eukaryota; Metazoa; Chordata; Lepidosauria; Squamata; Lacertidae. The record is from RNAcentral.
UGGGCAUUUUGAGUUAGAUGUGGAACAUGCUCUGAUAUAGUUUAAGCCCAGCUUAGUAAAAGGUAGUGAACAAUGAGAGCUUUGAGAUCCUGCUGCGACGUUCCCCCAGAAAGCCUGGUAACAAUAAAAGAAAAGAAAAUCCUUCAUCAGGGAGUCUGAUCAGCUGGAUUCUACAUCAUCUGGGUUAGGGCAGAUAGCUUUGAUCAGAAGAGAUGAAAGGCUGAUGAAAUCUCCAUUGGGCCACCAAGUUUCCCCACUACUGUAUUCUGCCGCCUAAACUUAGAUGUCACUUUUCAACCAAGCUUCAUCUUGCCAGUAAUUAAAUAAGAGAAGAUCAAACACAAACAAAUCUUUUAUCUCUACCAGCAGAUUUAAAGGUAAAAGUUCUCUCCGUGGUGAGUUCUGAGUCAUUCGUCACUAAAUAUAUUAUUUCUCUUCUAGUGACUGAAAGGCACUCACUUUGCUUCAGGGUAUUUGCAUAAGGAAGAACCCUCUCCCCACCGCACCAAACUCCAUUACAAUUACAUAGAAAAAUUGUAGUGUGUCAUCACUACCACUGGUAAUGAUGACGGCCGGGCCAAAUGAUGGGCAAUAAAUCUAAAUGAAAACUCAGGUAUAUGCUGUGAAAAUAUGGGAAUAUCUCCAUGCGUGAGAAGCAGUGGGUGGCAAUCGAAUGACAGCUUUUACCCAAUGUUGGCCAUGAUCAUGAUCAUGAUUAUUUAUAUGGGUAUUUAAUUAUGACAGAUUAAGAUGGCUUCGCUAAUAGUUAGCCCACCUUGAGACCAACCUUGAACAUGUAUUUGGUGAAUAACUGCUUCACAACCUCAUUAAUCUGAUCUUGGGACCAGAUUGGAAAAGUGACAAAGGCAGAGAGGUGGCUGGGCAGGGCAGGGCAGAGGAAAGACCUUCUGCAUCAGGCCAGUGGCCCAGCUAUGGAGUCCAGCAGCAUGUUCUCACAGCGGCCAUUCAGAUGCCCCAAAGGACAUUAACAUUUUAUUAUUGUGUUAUUUUAUUUUUACUACCAGGAAGGGGGAGAGAUAGUCAUGGGAUUUUCUGCCUUGAGUACUGUGGGAUGUAUCCAGCAAAACUGUUAUGUUAGCACAAGGACUUCCGCUUGUGGAAUAGAACUUCCCCUCCUAUGCCUCCACAAUAUGUUCUAGGUCCCCCCCAAUCCCCUAGAGCUAAUGAGGGGUACACAGUGGAAAAGGAGAGAGAGAGGGGAAAUUUCAUGAUACAAGUUGAGUCUUUGGGCUAAUGGAGUGACUUGCUGGAUACAACCCUACGUGCCUUGACUCUGCGAUGUGUGUGUGAUUUCCUGCCCUCGGGCAGCAAAAUGUCUUGAGCCGGGCCUGCCUGACUCCAUCCAGCAUUCAGGCUUCAAAGAUAGUGGUUGAUUAUGAGGAAAAGAGGAGUCCAGACUCCUGAAAUGGUUCUGUACUAGUGUAUUCCAAUAAAAUAAUCUUGUCUGCUGAACACACAGCUGGGUUCAUUGAAUCCUUUUGUUUAGUCGUGGACCCAGUGCCUGUCUGUGACCAACAUUUCCCCCACCAGCCGGCAUGCGUAGCUCUAAAUAAGAAUUAAAAAAAACAACAACAAAACUCAUAGAUAACAACCCUGUGAUUUCCUACAGCCUGAGCAACAUAUUUUCCUGGAGUCCCUUCUGGAGGGGAAAACACAUUGCAACACAAUAAGCCCUGCGUUCCAUAUUGCAAGAACCACAUCAGAUGCCUGCGUCACUACUGUUUCAUUAGUUGCGCGAUAGGAAGAGCCUCUGAUUCAAAACGGAC